RNAcentral lists this ribosomal RNA (225 nucleotides) under uncultured Enterobacterales bacterium. RNAcentral's name for it is "partial 16S ribosomal RNA". It matches the Rfam family "Bacterial small subunit ribosomal RNA", at positions 105 to 334 of the family's 1533-position model. Lineage: Bacteria; Pseudomonadati; Pseudomonadota; Gammaproteobacteria; Enterobacterales. The record is from RNAcentral.
GGUGAGUAAUGUCUGGGAAACUGCCUGAUGGAGGGGGAUAACUACUGGAAACGGUAGCUAAUACCGCAUAACGUCGCAAGACCAAAGAGGGGGACCUUCGGGCCUCUUGCCAUCAGAUGUGCCCAGAUGGGAUUAGCUAGUAGGUGGGGUAACGGCUCACCUAGGCGACGAUCCCUAGCUGGUCUGAGAUGAUGACCAGCCACACUGAACUGAGACACGGUCCAG